GGAAAUAUACAGAUAAGGAAUCAGAAUAACAUUCUAGCAGGUCCAAACACAAAGAACACCAAGCAUAGAUGAAGUAUUGUGAGAUAUCCACACACGCAAUAUUAGAACUCUAUCGAUAGGAGGUCAGUAUCUUAUAAUAUUGAUGCAGUGCAGCCAUGAAAUAAGAGACAAUAUGCGAGCCACUGACGUGUGAAUUCCAAUUUAAGUAACAGUUGUACGGUUUUAAAGGUCUGGUCAUAAGUAUUCUGAAGAGUAGUUUGGGUUGUUAUUUUACAAACUAUGGUUAGUUGUACAACAAAGGACAGAUCUGUGAGUUUUGCAGCUCCUUUGAAUUUAAAGGUUUUUGGUAACUGACAAAAUCGUAAUGACUUACUCCAGCUAUUAUACCUAUCAUAUUGUGCCUAUGCAGGAUGCUCUUUGACAGCCAAAGGCAGUUCUAUAAUAUUAUGGUCGAUUUAGAAGCUAAAUUCACUAAUAAUUGGAUCCAAUACUAUCACAUUAAUGCCACCUACAACUCUACAUCCAAUUUCGCUAAAAGUUAAAACUACUAACUACAUCCGAUUUCGUUAUACUCCAAGCGCUUAUACAAUAUCAUUGAGUAGUGUGCAUUCCUUGUACUCCAUCAGUAAUAUUGCUAAUGAAGACCCUAAUUGCUAUUAUUUUUCACUAGUCAUACAACUAGCAACUCUUAGUAAAGUGCACUUACUUUUACCCAUCACAAACCUCAAACACUUUGGUAUAUGAGUCAUCUUUUUUCUUUCUUUAAAAAAAAAAAAAAAAUUAUUGGUAAGUAACACACACGCCAGUUGGGUCUUCAAUAGUGUCCUUUACAACCUCAAAUUGAGCCAUUCUACUUUACCUAUCAAAACCCUACAACCCUGCACACUUCCCCUACCAAAUAGCCACCAAAUAACUAGUAAUAAGUCAUUCUGGGUUCAGUCCAGUUGAGCAUCAAUCCACCAUCUGAGCAGAUAAGAUCAGGUAGGGUAGGCUCACCAACUGCACUUCCAUUUCAAGUUUUUAGUCACAGGUAACACCAACGAGGCAAAGGGAAGCAUGACAAC
Quercus lobata is the source of this 1064-nucleotide long non-coding RNA. RefSeq lists it as uncharacterized. The record is from RefSeq and is a predicted model, not a curated record. The transcript is spliced from 2 exons. Lineage: Eukaryota; Viridiplantae; Streptophyta; Magnoliopsida; Fagales; Fagaceae.